UGAACGCUGGCGGAAUGCUUUACACAUGCAAGUCGAGCGGCAGCGCGGCCUUCGGGCUGGCGGCGAGCGGCGAACGGGUGAGUAAUGCAUCGGAACAUGCCCAGUCGUGGGGGAUAACACUUCGAAAGAAGUGCUAAUACCGCAUACGUCCUGAGGGGGAAAGCGGGGGAUCGCAAGACCUCGCGCGAUUGGAGUGGCCGAUGUCAGAUUAGCUAGUUGGUGGGGUAAAGGCCUACCAAGGCGACGAUCUGUAGCUGGUCUGAGAGGAUGAUCAGCCACACUGGGACUGAGACACGGCCCAGACUCCUACGGGAGGCAGCAGUGGGGAAUUUUGGACAAUGGGGGCAACCCUGAUCCAGCCACUCCGCGUGAGUGAAGAAGGCCUUCGGGUUGUAAAGCUCUUUCGGCAGGAACGAAACGGUGGGCUCUAACAUAGUCCGCUAAUGACGGUACCUGAAGAAGAAGCACCGGCUAACUACGUG
RNAcentral lists this ribosomal RNA (482 nucleotides) under uncultured bacterium. Its description in RNAcentral is "partial 16S ribosomal RNA". It matches the Rfam family "Bacterial small subunit ribosomal RNA", at positions 30 to 507 of the family's 1533-position model. The record is from RNAcentral.